GACGAACCGUCCUAACGUUGUUCGGAAUCACUGGGCUUAAAGGGCGCGUAGGCGGGUUCCCAAGUCGGUGGUGAAAUCUUUCGGCCCAACCGGAAAACAGCCGCCGAUACUGGGAGUCUUGAGGGAGGUAGGGGUCGAUGGAACUUCCGGUGGAGCGGUGAAAUGCGUAGAUAUCGGAAGGAACGCCGGUGGCGAAAGCGAUCGACUGGACCUUUUCUGACGCUGAGGCGCGAAAGCCAGGGGAGCAAACGGGG
Molecule: ribosomal RNA, 254 nt
Filed under: uncultured bacterium
Lineage: Bacteria
Description: partial 16S ribosomal RNA
Rfam family: Bacterial small subunit ribosomal RNA
Source: RNAcentral